CAAGUAGGAUGAAUGAUCGCGGCUGCCGUAUGGCAGGUGAGGAAAGUCCGGGCUUCACAGGGCAGGAUGCCGGAUAACGUCCGGUGGAGGUGACUCCAAGGAUAGUGCAACAGAAAUAUACCGCCGGCUUUGGGCCGGUAAGGGUGGAAGGGCAGUGUAAGAGACUACCGCCUGCACGGUAACGGGCAGGGCACAUGUAAACCCCAUUCGAAGCAAGACCAAACAGAAAGCGUUUAAAGCCGGCCCGGCCAGCUUUCAGGUGGGUCGCUUGAGGCGGGUGGCAACACUCGUCCUAGAUAGAUGAUCGUUCUCGACAUAACCCGGCUUACAGUCCUGCUUGAUUU
This is a non-coding RNA of Firmicutes bacterium CAG:534, 344 nucleotides long. It matches the Rfam family "Bacterial RNase P class A". From Rfam's summary of the family: Ribonuclease P (RNase P) is a ubiquitous endoribonuclease, found in archaea, bacteria and eukarya as well as chloroplasts and mitochondria. Lineage: Bacteria; Bacillati; Bacillota. The record is from Rfam.